RNAcentral lists this ribosomal RNA (228 nucleotides) under uncultured bacterium. RNAcentral's name for it is "partial 16S ribosomal RNA". It matches the Rfam family "Bacterial small subunit ribosomal RNA", at positions 568 to 795 of the family's 1533-position model. The record is from RNAcentral.
UGCGCAGGCGGGUUAUUAAGUCAGUGGUGAAAUCUCUCGGCUCAACCGAGAAACUGCCAUUGAAACUGAUAAUCUUGAGUAUAGUUGUAGUAGGCGGAAUAUAGCUUGUAGCGGUGAAAUGCUUAGAUAUGCUAUAGAACACCGAUCGCGAAGGCAGCUUACUAAACUAUUACUGACGCUCAUGCACGAAAGCGUGGGGAGCAAACAGGAUUAGAUACCCUGGUAGUC